AUUGAACGCUGGCGGCAUGCCUAACACAUGCAAGUCGAACGGUAACGCGGAGAGCUUGCUCUCUGGCGACGAGUGGCGGACGGGUGAGUAAUACUUGGGAAUCUGCCCAGUAGUGGGGGACAACAUUCGGAAACGGAUGCUAAUACCGCAUACGCACUACGGUGGAAAGUGGGGGAUCUUCGGACCUCACGCUAUUGGAUGAGCCCAAGUCGGAUUAGCUUGUAGGUAGGGUAACGGCCUACCUAGGCGACGAUCCGUAGCUGGGUCUGAGAGGACGAUCAGCCACACUGGGACUGAGACACGGCCCAGACUCCUACGGGAGGCAGCAGUGGGGAAUAUUGGACAAUGGGCGCAAGCCUGAUCCAGCAAUGCCGCGUGUGUGAAGAAGGCCUGCGGGUUGUAAAGCACUUUCAGUAGAGAAGAAAGGCCUAGGGUUAAUACCCCUGAGUCUUGACGUAACCUACAGAAGAAGCACCGGCUAACUCCGUG
Molecule: ribosomal RNA, 489 nt
Filed under: uncultured bacterium
Lineage: Bacteria
Description: bacterial SSU rRNA
Rfam family: Bacterial small subunit ribosomal RNA
Source: RNAcentral